RNAcentral lists this ribosomal RNA (18 nucleotides) under uncultured Glomus. RNAcentral's name for it is "partial 28S ribosomal RNA". The record is from RNAcentral. Lineage: Eukaryota; Fungi; Glomeromycota; Glomeromycetes; Glomerales; Glomeraceae.
UCUGACCUCAAAUCAGGA